RNAcentral lists this transfer RNA (88 nucleotides) under Candidatus Odoribacter faecigallinarum. RNAcentral's name for it is "tRNA-Ser". It matches the Rfam family "tRNA". From Rfam's summary of the family: Transfer RNA (tRNA) molecules are approximately 80 nucleotides in length. Their secondary structure includes four short double-helical elements and three loops (D, anti-codon, and T loops). The record is from RNAcentral. Lineage: Bacteria; Pseudomonadati; Bacteroidota; Bacteroidia; Bacteroidales; Odoribacteraceae.
GGAAAGGUGCAGGAGCGGUUGAACUGGCACGCCUGGAAAGCGUGUAUACCUCUAAAGGGUAUCAGGGGUUCGAAUCCCCUUCUUUCCG